RNAcentral lists this ribosomal RNA (843 nucleotides) under Triticum aestivum (bread wheat). RNAcentral describes it as "partial small subunit ribosomal RNA". Lineage: Eukaryota; Viridiplantae; Streptophyta; Magnoliopsida; Poales; Poaceae. The record is from RNAcentral.
AUGGCAUUGCUUCUUCGCUUCAAUCAACUGAGGAACAGCAUAUGGAGUAGUUGUCCUGCCAGGUUGCUUAUGCCACAUGCUGGAUUGUCAUCUGGAAAGUUGCCUGAUCCAAAAAGCUAUGAGAGGCGCCUUUUCUCAACAAGGGUUCAAGAGACAGCUAGUUUGGACAGAACAUGUAUUUCCGGAAUUCAGCCAUUAGAGUUUCAGCAGACUUCUGAACAUGAGCAAUCUGUCCCUCUUCUUAUCUUUGAUAUUAAGACCACUGGUUUUCUCCAGAAGCGUAAUAGAAUCACUGAGUUUGCAGUCCAUGAUCUUUGGGCAGGAAAGAAUAACACAUUUGAAACUCUCCUUAAUCCUGAGAUGGAUGUUCCUAACUACAUUGCAGCUGUCAGUAACAUCAACAAUGAUUUGGUCUGCCGACCUGAUGUCCCGAGUGAUGUACUUCCGUUACUACUGGCGUUUGUUCGAAGCCGCCAAACUCCUGGCAAACCAGUUAUAUGGGUUGCUCAUAAUGUAAAAAGAUUUGAUGGCCCUUUCCUGGCCCAAGAGUUUGAUCGUUGUUCAGCUCAGAUCCCUGAAGAUUGGCUGUUUGUUGACACCUAUUGCUUGGCAAGGAAAUUGCCUAAGCUUCUGCCAUCAGAAGAUAAGAGACAUCUCCAUGACUUGGGGUCACUAUGCAAACGCUAUGGGAUCUCUGUGGAAGGCCCUCCUCAUAGAGCAAUGCAAGAAGUGAUGAAAUUAUGUCAAGUUUUCCAGAAAAUGAGUUUUGAUCUAAAACUGACAUAUGAAGGCCUAAUGGAUGAGGCCAUCGAGGCUAGUUAUUUCAGCAAGUUUCUUAAGUAA